Molecule: small nucleolar RNA, 68 nt
Organism: Tachyglossus aculeatus (Australian echidna)
Lineage: Eukaryota; Metazoa; Chordata; Mammalia; Monotremata; Tachyglossidae
Source: RefSeq, a predicted model, not a curated record
UGGAGGUGAUGAGCGACUCGGUCCUGAAUCCGGCGUGAGGGCGAAAGCUGAUUUAAUGAGCCUGAUCC